This 253-nucleotide ribosomal RNA is filed under the name uncultured bacterium. Its description in RNAcentral is "partial 16S ribosomal RNA". It matches the Rfam family "Bacterial small subunit ribosomal RNA", at positions 524 to 776 of the family's 1533-position model. The record is from RNAcentral.
UACGUAGGUGACAAGCGUUGUCCGGAUUUCCUGGGCGUAAAGAGCGCGCAGGCGGUCGAUCAAGUCGAGUGUGAAAGCCCCCGGCUCAACUGGGGAGGGUCAUUCGAUACUGAUCGACUCGAAGGCAGGAGAGGGUAGUGGAAUUCCCGGUGUAGUGGUGAAAUGCGUAGAUAUCGGGAGGAACACCAGUGGCGAAGGCGACUACCUGGCCUGUUCUUGACGCUGAGGCGCGAAAGCUAGGGGAGCAAACGGG